This 910-nucleotide ribosomal RNA is filed under the name Palpitomonas bilix. Its description in RNAcentral is "partial Bacterial small subunit ribosomal RNA". It matches the Rfam family "Bacterial small subunit ribosomal RNA", at positions 25 to 954 of the family's 1533-position model. The record is from RNAcentral.
CAGAUUGAACGCUGGCGGCAGGCCUAACACAUGCAAGUCGAGCGCUUCCCUUCGGGGAGGAGCGGCGGACGGGUUAGUAACGCGUGGGAAUAUACCCAGUUCUAAGGAAUAGCCAUUGGAAACGAUGAGUAAUACCUUAUACGCCCUUCGGGGGAAAGAUUUAUCGGAGAAGGAUUAGCCCGCGUUAGAUUAGGUAGUUGGUGGGGUAAUGGCCUACCAAGCCUACGAUCUAUAGCUGGUUUUAGAGGAUGAUCAGCCACACUGGGACUGAGACACGGCCCAGACUCCUACGGGAGGCAGCAGUGGGGAAUAUUGCACAAUGGGGGAAACCCUGAUGCAGCCAUGCCGCGUGUGUGAAGAAGGCCUUCGGGUUGUAAAGCACUUUCAGUUGUGAGGAAAAGUUAGUAGUUAAUACCUGCUAGCCGUGACGUUAACAACAGAAGAAGCACCGGCUAACUCCGUGCCAGCAGCCGCGGUAAUACGGAGGGUGCGAGCGUUAAUCGGAAUUACUGGGCGUAAAGCGCACGCAGGCGGUUUGUUAAGCUAGAUGUGAAAGCCCCGGGCUCAACCUGGGAUGGUCAUUUAGAACUGGCAGACUAGAGUCUUGGAGAGGGGAGUGGAAUUCCAGGUGUAGCGGUGAAAUGCGUAGAUAUCUGGAGGAACAUCAGUGGCGAAGGCGACUCCCUGGCCAAAGACUGACGCUCAUGUGCGAAAGUGUGGGUAGCGAACAGGAUUAGAUACCCUGGUAGUCCACGCCGUAAACGAUGUCUACUAGCCGUUGGGACUCUUGAAGUCUUAGUGGCGCAGCUAACGCACUAAGUAGACCGCCUGGGGAGUACGGCCGCAAGGUUAAAACUCAAAUGAAUUGACGGGGGCCCGCACAAGCGGUGGAGCAUGUGGUUUAAUUCGA